RNAcentral lists this ribosomal RNA (259 nucleotides) under uncultured bacterium. RNAcentral describes it as "partial 16S ribosomal RNA". It matches the Rfam family "Bacterial small subunit ribosomal RNA", at positions 793 to 1055 of the family's 1533-position model. The record is from RNAcentral.
GUCCACACCCUAAACGAUGAUUACUCGUUGUUGGCGAUACACAGUCAGCGACUAAGCGAAAGCAUUAAGUAAUCCACCUGGGGAGUACUGUCGCAAGACUGAAACUCAAAGGAAUUGACGGGGGCCCCGCACAAGCGGAGGAGCAUGUGGUUUAAUUCGAUGAUACGCGAGGAACCUUACCUGGGCUUGAAAGUUAGUGAAUGACGCAGAAACGUGUCAGCUCGAAAGAGCACGAAACUAGGUGCUGCAUUGCUGUCGU